RNAcentral lists this ribosomal RNA (813 nucleotides) under Triticum aestivum (bread wheat). Its description in RNAcentral is "partial small subunit ribosomal RNA". Lineage: Eukaryota; Viridiplantae; Streptophyta; Magnoliopsida; Poales; Poaceae. The record is from RNAcentral.
AUGGCCGCGUUCUGGCAGUCGUGCCGUUUAGCCAGCCGGCCACCAGAAGGCGGCGCUUCAUCUUGUCGUCUUGAGGGGCGCAGCCGGCCCGAUGUCUUGAAAGGUUUCGGGACUCGGGUAAGGCUACUCGUGGCCCAUUACUCCGACACUGACCAUAAUCCCCUACUCCUCUCCUCAGGAGACACGGGCAGGGAGGCGCAUAAACCUACGGAGUUUAGGUUUGGUCUGGCCUGGCUUAUAAAUCAUGAUUUUUUACCCUUAGUGGAGAAAAUCUGGAAGAAAGUGGUUAAAGCUGAAGAUCCUAUUGAUAUUCUUAAUAUCAAACUAAAAAGGUUUAAAACCUUCUUCAAAGGGUGGGGGUCCAACAAGUACGACCAUACCAAGAAGAGAAAAGAAGAAUUAAGAGUGGUACUGUCCACUCUUGAGGAGCUCGAAGAAGAGGGACCUCUGACCCCUGAGAUGUAUAGUAGAAAGGUGGAUAUUAAUUUUGAACUUCAUGAGAUUCUAGUGAAUGAGGAGAUUUUCUGGCUCCAACAAUCCCAUGAGCGUUGGCUGCUCAAAGGGUAUUUGAACACAUAUUAUUUUCAUAAAAUUGCAAAUGGGAGAAAAAGGAAGAAUACCAUUCAUGCCCUCAAAUGUGGUGAUAUCGAGAUAGAAGGAACUAAUAACCUUAUCUCACAUGCCACAGAGUUUUAUAAAACCCUUUUCAGCCCAGCCCCAGGCAACUUAUUUCACAUGGAUCCUAACUCGUGGGAUGAAUCGGAAAAACUUACUCAAGAGGAUAAUGUUGAUUUGACUAGAGCCUUUUCAUAA